CCUACGGGAGGCAGCAGUGGGGGAUAUUGCACAAUGGGGGGAACCCUGAUGCAGCGACGCCGCGUGUGGGAAGACGGUCCUCUGGAUUGUAAACCACUGUCCCCAGGGACUAAAAUGACGGUACCUUGGGAGGAAGCUCCGUCUAACUACGUGCCAGCAGCCGCGGUAAUACGUAGGGAGCGAGCGUUGUCCGGAUUUACUGGGUGUAUAGGGAGCGUAGGCGGGGAUGCAAGUUGGGGGUCAAAACUACCGGCUCAACUGGUAGUCGCACUUAAAACUGCCGCUCUUGAGUGAAGUAGAGGCAGGCGGAAUGCGUAGUGUAGCGGUGAAAUGCGUAGAUAUCAGGAGGAACACCAGUGGCGAAGGCGGCCUGCUGGGCUUUUACUGACGCUGAGGCUCGAAAGUGUGGGGAGCAAACAGGAUUAGAUACCCCAGUAGUC
RNAcentral lists this ribosomal RNA (440 nucleotides) under uncultured bacterium. RNAcentral's name for it is "partial 16S ribosomal RNA". It matches the Rfam family "Bacterial small subunit ribosomal RNA", at positions 338 to 795 of the family's 1533-position model. The record is from RNAcentral.